GAGAGAAGACAUAUUGUUGAGGUACGUUAUUGUAAUUGCAUUUUUACAUGGUCACAAUGUAUCAGGUCUUUGUGCAUCCACUUGGAAACCUCUGUAUGAAUCUAUAUCCUCUUUACUCCCUGCAGCAAGGUUUUAAGUAAUAGAAUUGCUUGUUGACUUGGAUUGAAUCAGCUGCUGCUACUGUGGCUACUUUUACUGAACUAUCGUAUUGACUUAACAAUAAAUCAAGAACUAUAGUGAAUACCAUAGUAAGCUUGUAGAUUUAAAAAUUUAUAGUAAAA
Molecule: unclassified non-coding RNA, 281 nt
Filed under: Hevea brasiliensis (rubber tree)
Lineage: Eukaryota; Viridiplantae; Streptophyta; Magnoliopsida; Malpighiales; Euphorbiaceae
Source: RNAcentral